Xenopus laevis (African clawed frog) is the source of this 5442-nucleotide RNA transcript. It is a transcript of the gene named terminal uridylyl transferase 4 S homeolog, with no coding region annotated. NCBI's taxonomy places the organism in Eukaryota, Metazoa, Chordata, Amphibia, Anura, Pipidae. The transcript has 31 exons. The record is from RefSeq and is a predicted model, not a curated record.
UGUGUGUUCAGGGCCUGCACAGCAGCAGGAGGACCUUCCUUGAGAUGGACAUUCUGCAUCGAAUGGGGGAUUAGGGCCCCUCGCCGGGGCAGCGAAUUCUCACGCCGCUUUUCCACAACCUGUUAAUCCCUUGCGUCUGGCUCUUUAUCUUGAGUGGGGAUUUGUGUCAGAUUGUGGUAAAUAGUCCAAUGGUGUGAAGGCAAGCCAGGAAUUAUGGAAGGUGUCUCUAAGCCUGUAAAUCAUGAGGCAAAAAAGUCACAGGCUCGUGCAUUUCGAGGAGAGAACAAAGUUGUCAGAGUGGUGAGCAGUCAGAAGCACAAACACAGAGCUGAAAGUAAAGCAACCAGAGAUUUAGGUGAAAACUCUCAAAGCAAUGGCAAGAAAGGGAAGCAAGAAGAGCCAUCUGGUAGAGUUUUGGGAGAUUCAAAAACAAGUAAAGAAAACUCAAAUAAUUUCUCUUCUGGAUCGACAGGCAUUGGUCCAAAUGUUUUCGAACCAAGUCACUCAAGAGCUAAGAAAUCAUCUCAUUUGCCAGCUGGGAUAUUGAAACAACCACAAACUGUCAAGGCAGAAAAAAUAGUUUCAAAGUCAAAGGAGGAGUAUGAAAGCAUUGAAAAACAGAGUCUUGUUCAACCCCAAGGGCCUACAGAAAACUGCCGGGAACCAAAGCAAGAAAAUCAAGAAUCAAAACAAGAAUUGGGUGCUGAACAAAAGCCUUCCGCUACAGAUGGUGCAUUGAACACCAGCUCUCAUUUAGAAUCUGUUCAUUUCGACACAGGAAUGGCAACAGAAGAGUUAACUGUAGCAGACCAGGAACUUGGCCUGAAGCAGGCAGAAGAGAGGUUGGAGCGUGAUUACAUAUAUCGGCUAGAGAAGAGAUCUCCUGACUACUCCAACUGCCAGUAUCUAUGUAAACUCUGCACAGUACACAUCGAGAACAUCCAAGGAGCUCACAAGCAUAUUAAGGAGAAACGGCACAAAAAGAAUAUUCUGGAGAAACAGGAAGAGAAUGAGCUGCGUGCUCUUCCACCACCAACUCCUGCCCAAAUAUCUGCUUUGGGACUGGCCCUGAUGGAUGCAGCAAAAGAAAAUGGGGUUUCGCAGGAGGACUUCUUGUUACGGCAAGAAAUCGUUAAAUCCAUGGAAACGAUUAUUCAAAUUAAAUUACCUGAGUGCUCCCUCAAAAUGUAUGGAUCUUCUUUAACUAGAUUUGCAUUUAAAUCAAGCGACAUUAAUAUAGAUGUUAAGUUUCCCAGGAAGAUGAACCAACCAGAUGUAUUAAUUCAAGUACUUGACAUUUUAAAAAACUGUGUUUGCUAUACAGAGGUAGAGUCUGAUUUCCAUGCAAAGGUUCCUGUUGUGUUUUGCAAGGACAAAAAAAGUGGGUUGACCUGUAAAGUGAGUGCUGGAAAUGACACAGCGUGCCUUACCACUGAAUUCCUAGAAGCUAUAGGCAAACUGGAGCCUGUUCUCAUCCCACUUGUUUUGGCAUUUCGCUACUGGGCCAGGCUUUGUCACAUAGACUGCCAAGCAGAAGGUGGACUCCCAUCUUAUUGUUUUGCCUUAAUGGUGGUGUUUUACCUGCAGAAAAGACAGCCACCAAUCCUACCAGCAUAUAUUGGCCCUUGGAUAGAUGGUUUUGAGUCAAAGAAGAUGGAUGAAUACAAUCUUAAAAGUGUUUCUGAGGAAUGCUACCUUGAUUGGGAAUACAGACCAUCUUGCAACAACGAGAACAAAGGCUUAUUAGCCACAGGCGGGAGAGGUAGAAAUGAGCAGAACUUAAGAAAGACAACUGUGUCUGAAUUGCAGAGUAAGAAGAACAAGGAAAGGCAAGGAAGAAGCUCUUUGGUAUUUGACAACCCUCCCAAGGAAUCACUGGGGCAUCUGUGGCUGGAGCUUUUGAAGUUUUACACACUGGAAUUUGCAAUGGAAGAACAUGUGAUCAGUGUGCGGAUGCAAGGCCUACUAACCAGGGACAACAAGAACUGGCCGAGAAGGAGGAUAGCAAUUGAAGAUCCCUUUGCACUAAAGAGGAAUGUUGCAAGAAGCCUCAACAGCCAUUUGGUGUACGAGUAUCUUUUGGAAAGGUUCCGAGCAGCCUACAAAUACUUUGCCUGCCCACAGUGUAAGGAACAAAAGAAAUCUAAAACCGAUGCUAGGAAAAGGGCAAAGUGUAUUAACAAAUCAUUAUCCAAGCCUGAAGAUGAUGAGGAUAAUGGCAUCCUCCCAGAUGCUGGAACAUGUAGGACAGAUGAAACAGAGCUAAAAGAAAGCAUACCUACUGUUGAAGUCCUAGAAAUUGAUGAGCAGUUGCCUCCUUCCCAAGCCGAGGAUGUUAGAACCAUAGAAAUUCCUGCUGUGGACAUUGACAAAUCAAACCCUUUAACAGAAUUCAUUGAAUUGGAAUUACAGUCUGUGGAUGAAAGUCACCAUGCUUUAGAACUUUUGAGAAGUGAAGAGAACACAAACUUUAAUGGCAAGGACUAUUUAACUAUAAAAGAACUAUCUGAUACUACUGAAGAACGGUGUAAUGCAGAAGCAACUCAGCUUCUGGAAAACUGGUCUAGCAAUUGCACUUUUGCUACCUCACUUGAUCAUGAAGCUUUGAAGCAUGGAGGAAGCCUCAGUGAGGAAGAUUUACAUUAUGUCUUUGACAAGUUUAUAUUGACUUCUGGGAAGCCUCCUACAAUAGUGUGCAGUAUCUGCAAGCGUGAUGGGCACACCAAAGAUGACUGUCCUGAGGACUUCAAGAAAAUAGACUUGAAGCCUCUACCACCUAUGACUAUCAGGUUCCGAGAGAUUCUUGAUAGAGUGUGCAAGAGAUGCUUUGAUGAGUUAUCCCCUAAUGCUUGUGAGCAACAAAACCGGGAGCAGAUCCUGACAUACCUUGAACGGUUUAUCCGGAAGGAGUUUAAUAACUAUGCCAGGCUGUGCUUGUUUGGCUCAUCCAAGAAUGGUUUUGGGUUCCGUGAUAGUGACCUAGAUAUCUGUAUGACCCUGGAGGGUCAAGAAAAUGCAAAGAAACUAAACUGCAAAGAAAUUAUUGACGGUUUGGCAAAGGUUCUUAAGAGGCACCCAGGUUUAAAAAACAUUUUGGCAAUAACCACUGCCAAAGUGCCAAUAGUGAAGUUUGAGCAUAAAGAGAGUGGUGUAGAAGGAGACAUAAGCUUGUACAACACUCUGGCUCAGCACAACACCAGAAUGUUGGCUACAUAUGCUGCCAUCGACCCCAGGGUAAAAUACCUUGGAUACACAGUGAAGUUUUUUGCCAAGCGCUGUGACAUUGGUGAUGCUUCAAGAGGGAGCCUAUCAUCAUAUGCUUACAUUUUGAUGGUGCUGUACUUCUUGCAGCAGAGAAAUCCUCCUGUAAUCCCAGUGCUUCAAGAGAUAUAUGAUGGGCAAGAAACCCCACAAAGAAUGGUAGAUGGCUGGAAUGCCUUUUUCUUUGACAAGACCGAAGUCUUGAGAAACCGUUUCCCUUCACUUGGCAAAAAUAAAGAAUCCGUUGGGGAACUAUGGCUUGGGUUCCUUAGAUUCUACACUGAAGAGUUUGAUUUUAAGGAAUAUGUCAUCAGUAUUCGCCAGAAAAAGUUGCUAACUACAUUUGAAAAGCAGUGGACCUCUAAGUGUAUUGCCAUUGAAGACCCGUUUGACCUCAGUCAUAAUCUUGGAGCUGGAGUCUCCAGAAAAAUGACAAAUUUUAUUAUGAAGGCAUUUAUUAAUGGAAGGAAACUCUUUGGAAUGCCAGUCUACCCCAUCCCUGGUCUUGAAGGAGAAUACUUCUUUGAUUCCAAAGUACUGACCGAUGGGGAGUUGGCUCCCAAUGACAGGUGCUGCCGUGUAUGUGGGAAGAUUGGUCACUACAUGAAAGACUGUCCAAAGCGCAGAAGAAUAAAAAAGAAAGAGAAUGAAAAAGAUGAUGAUAAGGACAUAAAGGAAGAUGAGCGAGACCUCAGAGAGAAGAGAUGUUUUACAUGUGGUGAUGUGGGACAUGUACGAAGAGACUGUCCUGAAAACAACUUGGUCCGUCAGAAGAAUGGUGGAAUUAUAGCCCCUCAGAUCUUACAAGGCCUGAUCCUCCCACAGUCGGUUCUGACACCACUUCAACAGAUUGAACGUCCAUGUCGGACCCGACAGGCCUCUGAAUCAUCAGAAUCCCAUCAUUCAUCAUACUCUCCACAGCCUUUACAACCAAAUUCUGUCAACCAGACACAGCCCUUGCAGACUAAGCUUGACCAACAGCAAACUCCUGCAGCACAGAAUCCUCACCAGGUUCAGCGACCCUUGUUUAACUUUGCACAGUCUCCCCCCACACGCUUUUCCCCUCUGCACAAUCUUGGGAUUUUCCCCUUUCCCCCACAAAUACCUCUCCCCAGCAGCUCAUGGCCCAUCCCUGCCCAGAUGCUGCUCUCAUCCUCUGGAAACCCCUCUCAUCCUGGUGGUGUUACCUUCCCAGUCAGGUCUGGCAGCAGCAGCCCAUCCACUACUAAUCAAAGUGCUGUUAACUUGAAUGAUCCAAGUAUCAUCUUUGCUCAGCCUGCUGUCAGAUCCCUGGGAGUCCCAAAUUCCACUCACGAUGGUCCCUGGCACAGCUCCCAAACUCCCAGCUCUCUCAAUGGCACAGUGGGUGGAACAGAUCAAGGAUUCCAAGGACAUUUUGCUAAGCCAUCCACUCCUUGGGAGCACACCACCACCACAGCCCACUUCCCCCUGCUCCCCCCAUCAUGGCCUUACAGGUUGCCCCAGAACUUACUGCCACAGGGACCUGCCAGCUUUCAUUCCAAGACAUAUUACCCUCCAGCUGCCUCACUGAUCCAGAAUGGACCCCAAUUCCCUGUCUUAUCUCAAGGGCAUCCCCACCUAAAUUCAAAUUACAUACAGCAGAAGAAAUGAAUCAAUGUCAUUACAAUAUGUCGGCCUUUACAGGAUCUAUUUUUAAAUCAAUGUGUUUGACUAUUAGAUUAUUUAACCCUUUUACUGCCAAGGAACCUGCUGAAACAUUAGGUCUAGGAAAGAAUCUGCACUGAUCGCCUCUGAAGGAGCAUGUUCCAAGCAAGGAUCCAUAGAGACAACAUGGGAAACAAAGCAGAAAUCGACGGAGAUCAGAGGCGUGGCAGAACAGGAGGGAGCAUUGGCUUAAGGGGAUGGAUACAGGGCAACAGAAAAUCUUGAGAGAGCGGGGUCAAGAUGUGUAUGUAAGUAGAAACCAGAAGUGCAUGAGAUGUAUUACCAGUGGCAAUGCGAUAUCGGCAUUUGUUCUUCCAAGGGAUGUUAACAUACGGGACCUGGUGGUGAAUAACUACCCUUGUUACAGAGAAGCUGCUGGGAGAUUUUCUGAUACUACAACAGACUGAGAUUAUCUUCAUAGUGACUGUGCAAGUUUAAUGGACAUUGGUGUGUAUUAACCCCCGACUGACUAAUAAAUGAGGAAUAAUUGAGGUA